Asterias rubens (European starfish) is the source of this 1065-nucleotide long non-coding RNA. RefSeq lists it as uncharacterized. The record is from RefSeq and is a predicted model, not a curated record. The transcript has 3 exons. NCBI's taxonomy places the organism in Eukaryota, Metazoa, Echinodermata, Asteroidea, Forcipulatida, Asteriidae.
ACCAGAUGAUGAGAUGGUUAGCUGAAAGGAUGAUCUACUGAUGAUGUGCUGUGUAUUGUUGAACCAAAUGCAGAAACCCAAAGUGAACAGUCAGUUGUAGAUACAGAGGAGACUGAUCAGCUGUGAGGAGUGUACAACUUGGCUUUGGUAUUCUGCUGAUUCUUCAACAUCCUUCAAACACCUACAUUCCACUUGUCUGAUGAGCUGAAGGGACGGAUCAACCUGAUAACUGGCAUUUCAGUUCACACCAAGGAAGCAAUAUUCAAGAUAUUUGUCAACUCAGACAGCUCUGUCCCUCGAUUAACUCAGACAAAUUUUGGUACGAACAAAACUCACUGACGGUUAUUGCUAUUUCUCAAAGGGCAUGUGACAAAGAAGAUAGCAGGACAGUAAAGGUCCAUAAUCAGAAUGUGUUCAUGGGCAAUCAAAGACUUGCAUUUCAACUCUAAAAAGAAAUCUGGGCCCAAUUUCAUGAAGCUGUUAAGCAGAAAAUACUGCUUGACAAAAUUCUUUGCUAAGCAAAAAGUGAGUCAGGCUCCAGCCACAACAUUGCUAAGUUAAUGUUAUUUUGACCGGUUACCUGUUUCUGUUAAACAACACUGUUCAGUGCGUAGCAAAUUGCUGUGCGUUCAAGCUUUCAAUGAAAUUGGGCCCAGAUUACACAAGUUGGAAAAAAACAUUUAUAUUUAAGGCACGUAAAAUGCUCUCUUUUUCUACUCAAUCAAAUAAACUAAGGUUUCACUUGGGAUUUGAAUUGAUUUGUUUUCACUGACUUAUUAAUACCUUCAAAUGACUCUUGGUGUCCGAUGUCUUCUGACUCUUCAGCAUUAUGAAAAGAAAGUUAUGAACUUAAAAACACUUUGCUGAAAUUCAAGUCUUUUUUGGAAAGUAACUCAUGAAUUAAGCCAAGUACAUUAAUUGGGUGUAUCUUUGCUCCAUGGACAGCAAGGGGGGGGGAGGGGUCAAGCAAAGUUUUUACAAGAAGUUUCAUGAGAUUUAAUAUCUGCUUAGGUCUGUUCAUUACAAUGUGUGAAAGUGUACAAUUUUUUGUUGUCAAAUGUUUCA